Molecule: unclassified non-coding RNA, 255 nt
Filed under: Hevea brasiliensis (rubber tree)
Lineage: Eukaryota; Viridiplantae; Streptophyta; Magnoliopsida; Malpighiales; Euphorbiaceae
Source: RNAcentral
ACAAAUUUUGGGGGGCAAAAAGAAAAAAAAUCCCGACUUCAAAUCACACAAAUAUGGUGAACCAUAAUAAAAAUGCCACUUAAUCACAUAACAAUUUAAGUAAGGCUCCUAUCAGUUGGUAAGCUCCAUAAUAGCAGAAACUAUGUCUCCAUCGGCUGCCUUCAAAGCCUGAACGGCCUUGGACCUGGAGACUCCUGCUUGUGUCAUCACCAAUUCAAUAUCCUUUGGCUCAACUCCAGUUUCAUCCACCUCUUC